AGAAGCUUAGUUAAUAUAUAACCUCGGUCUGUCAGUCCGAUAUUGCGAAUAUAAAUCCCUCGCAGCUCCUU
RNAcentral lists this transfer RNA (71 nucleotides) under Ophionotus victoriae. RNAcentral's name for it is "tRNA-Asp". Lineage: Eukaryota; Metazoa; Echinodermata; Ophiuroidea; Amphilepidida; Ophiuridae. The record is from RNAcentral.